GGUCAGGAUGAACGCUAGCUACAGGCUUAACACAUGCAAGUCGAGGGGCAGCAUGAUCGAAGCUUGCUUGAUGAUGGCGACCGGCGCACGGGUGAGUAACGCGUAUCCAACCUUCCCUGUAGUAGAGAAUAGCCCGGCGAAAGUCGGAUUAAUGCUCUAUGUUGUAUUUCGAUGACAUCUGAAGAAUACCAAAGGUUUACCGCUAUAGGAUGGGGAUGCGUCUGAUUAGGUUGUUGGCGGGGUAACGGCCCACCAAGCCCACGAUCAGUAGGGGUUCUGAGAGGAAGGUCCCCCACAUUGGAACUGAGACACGGUCCAAACUCCUACGGGAGGCAGCAGUGAGGAAUAUUGGUCAAUGGACGGAAGUCUGAACCAGCCAAGUAGCGUGCAGGAUGACGGCCCUAUGGGUUGUAAACUGCUUUUAUAUGGGGAUAAAGUGAGGGACGUGUCCCUUUUUGUAGGUACCAUAUGAAUAAGGACCGGCUAAUUCCGUGCCAGCAGCCGC
RNAcentral lists this ribosomal RNA (505 nucleotides) under uncultured bacterium. RNAcentral's name for it is "bacterial SSU rRNA". It matches the Rfam family "Bacterial small subunit ribosomal RNA", at positions 22 to 518 of the family's 1533-position model. The record is from RNAcentral.